RNAcentral lists this transfer RNA (72 nucleotides) under Stegodyphus mimosarum. It matches the Rfam family "tRNA". From Rfam's summary of the family: Transfer RNA (tRNA) molecules are approximately 80 nucleotides in length. Their secondary structure includes four short double-helical elements and three loops (D, anti-codon, and T loops). The record is from Rfam by way of RNAcentral. Lineage: Eukaryota; Metazoa; Arthropoda; Arachnida; Araneae; Eresidae.
GCCUUCGUGGUGUAACGGUUAGCACACUCGGCCCGUAUUCGAGAGAUCCAGGUUAGAGUCUUGGCCAGGGCA